Long non-coding RNA from Oncorhynchus tshawytscha (Chinook salmon), 447 nucleotides. RefSeq lists it as uncharacterized. The record is from RefSeq and is a predicted model, not a curated record. Lineage: Eukaryota; Metazoa; Chordata; Actinopteri; Salmoniformes; Salmonidae. The transcript is spliced from 3 exons.
GAUGGUAGUACUAUGAUAGGUAGUAUAGAUGUGUAGUGAGAGGUGGUAUGAUGGUAGUACUAUGAUAGGUAGUAUAGAUGUGUAGUGAGAGGUGGUAUGAAGGUAGGACUAUGAUAGGUCAGUAGUAGAGAUGUGUAGUAGAGAGAGGUGGUAUGAUGGUAGUACUAUGAUAGGUAGUAGAGAUGUGUAGUGAGAGGUGGUAUGAUGGUAGUACUAUGAUAGGUAGUAGAGAUGUGUAGUGAGAGGUGGUAUGAUGGUAGUACUAUGAUAGGUAGUAGAGAUGUGUAGUGAGAGGUGCUAUGAUAGUAGUACUAUGAUAGGUCAGUAGUAGAGAUGUGUAGUGAGAGGUGGUAUGAUGGUAGUACUAUGAUAGGUCAGUAGUAUAGAUGUGUAGUGAGAGGUGGUAUGAUGGUAGUACUAUGAUAGGUCAGUAGUAGAGAUGUGUAG